GAUGAACGCUGGCGGCGUGCCUAAUACAUGCAAGUCGAGCGAACAGAUGAGAAGCUUGCUUCUCUGAUGUUAGCGGCGGACGGGUGAGUAACACGUGGGUAACCUACCUAUAAGACUGGGAUAACUCCGGGAAACCGGGGCUAAUACCGGAUAAUAUUUUGAACCGCAUGGUUCAAUAGUGAAAGACGGUUUCGGCUGUCACUUAUAGAUGGACCCGCGCCGUAUUAGCUAGUUGGUAAGGUAACGGCUUACCAAGGCGACGAUACGUAGCCGACCUGAGAGGGUGAUCGGCCACACUGGAACUGAGACCCGGUCCAGACUCCUACGGGAGGCAGUAGUAGGGAAUCUUCCGCAAUGGGCGAAAGUCUGACGGAGCAACGCCGCGUGAGUGAUGAAGGGUUUCGGCUCGUAAAACUCUGUUAUUAGGGAAGAACAAAUGUGUAAGUAACUGUGCACAUCUUGACGGUACCUAAUCAGAAAGCCACGGCUAACUACGUGCCAGCCGCCGCCGUAA
RNAcentral lists this ribosomal RNA (514 nucleotides) under uncultured bacterium. RNAcentral describes it as "partial 16S ribosomal RNA". It matches the Rfam family "Bacterial small subunit ribosomal RNA", at positions 28 to 523 of the family's 1533-position model. The record is from RNAcentral.